This 253-nucleotide ribosomal RNA is filed under the name uncultured bacterium. RNAcentral describes it as "partial 16S ribosomal RNA". It matches the Rfam family "Bacterial small subunit ribosomal RNA", at positions 524 to 776 of the family's 1533-position model. The record is from RNAcentral.
UACGUAGGGUGCAAGCGUUAAUCGGAAUUACUGGGCGUAAAGCGUGCGCAGGCGGUUAUGCAAGACAGAUGUGAAAUCCCCGGGCUCAACCUGGGAACUGCAUUUGUGACUGCAUAGCUGGAGUGCGGCAGAGGGGGAUGGAAUUCCGCGUGUAGCAGUGAAAUGCGUAGAGAUGUGGAGGAACACCGAUGGCGAAGGCAGCCUCCUGGGCCAGCACUGACGCUCAUGCACGAAAGCGUGGGGAGCAAACAGG